This 428-nucleotide ribosomal RNA is filed under the name uncultured bacterium. RNAcentral describes it as "bacterial SSU rRNA". It matches the Rfam family "Bacterial small subunit ribosomal RNA", at positions 356 to 775 of the family's 1533-position model. The record is from RNAcentral.
GGGGAAUAUUGCGCAAUGGGCGAAAGCCUGACGCAGCAACGCCGCGUGAGUGACGAAGGCCUUCGGGUCGUAAAACUCUGUCUUUUGGGACGAACGGUAUCCCUGUGAAUAAUGGGGGUACAUGACGGUACUUAAGGAGGAAGCCCCGGCUAACUACGUGCCAGCAGCCGCGGUAAUACGUAGGGGGCAAGCGUUGUCCGGAAUUACUGGGCGUAAAGAGCGUGUAGGCGGGUGAUUAAGUCAGAUGUGAAAACCCAGGGCUCAACUCUGGGAGUGCAUCUGAAACUGGUUACCUUGAGGACAGGAGAGGAAAGUGGAAUUCCUAGUGUAGCGGUGAAAUGCGUAGAUAUUAGGAGGAACACCAGUGGCGAAGGCGGCUUUCUGGCCUGUAACUGACGCUGAGACGCGAAAGCGUGGGGAGCAAACAG